Molecule: ribosomal RNA, 253 nt
Filed under: uncultured bacterium
Lineage: Bacteria
Description: partial 16S ribosomal RNA
Rfam family: Bacterial small subunit ribosomal RNA
Source: RNAcentral
UACGGAGGAUGCAAGCGUUAUCCAGAAUGAUUGGGCGUAAAGCGUCCGCAGGUGGCAAUGUAAGUCUGCUGUCAAAGCGUCUGGCUCAACCAGAUAAAGGCAGUGGAAACUACAUAGCUAGAGUAAGGUAGGGGUAGAGGGAAUUCCUGGUGUAGCGGUGAAAUGCGUAGAGAUCAGGAAGAACACCGGUGGCGAAAGCGCUCUGCUGGACCUUAACUGACACUGAGGGACGAAAGCUAGGGGAGCGAAUGGG